This 429-nucleotide ribosomal RNA is filed under the name Pseudomonadota bacterium. RNAcentral's name for it is "Proteobacteria bacterium partial 16S ribosomal RNA". It matches the Rfam family "Bacterial small subunit ribosomal RNA", at positions 355 to 776 of the family's 1533-position model. Lineage: Bacteria; Pseudomonadati; Pseudomonadota. The record is from RNAcentral.
UGGGGAAUAUUGGACAAUGGGCGAAAGCCUGAUCCAGCCAUGCCGCGUGUGUGAAGAAGGUCUUCGGAUUGUAAAGCACUUUAAGUUGGGAGGAAGGGCAGUAAGCGAAUACCUUGCUGUUUUGACGUUACCGACAGAAUAAGCACCGGCUAACUCUGUGCCAGCAGCCGCGGUAAUACAGAGGGUGCAAGCGUUAAUCGGAAUUACUGGGCGUAAAGCGCGCGUAGGUGGUUCGUUAAGUUGAAUGUGAAAGCCCCGGGCUCAACCUGGGAACUGCAUCCGAAACUGGCGAGCUAGGGUAGGGCAGAAGGUGGUGGAAUUUCCUGUGUAGCGGUGAAAUGCGUAGAUAUAGGAAGGAACACCAGUGGCGAAGGCGACCACCUGGGCUCAUACUGACACUGAGGUGCGAAAGCGUGGGGAGCAAACAGG